This 4858-nucleotide long non-coding RNA is filed under the name Sus scrofa (pig). RNAcentral describes it as "lncRNA (ENSSSCG00060077156.1)". Lineage: Eukaryota; Metazoa; Chordata; Mammalia; Artiodactyla; Suidae. The record is from RNAcentral.
AGUGGCAACACCUGUCUCGGCGUCAGGAGGUCCGGCUUCCCCUCUGACGUAGCCUCCGACAAGUCCUUUGGGUUUUCUGGGCCUUUCGUGUCCUUCUCCGGAAAGUGAGGAGGCUGACUGCUCCCGAUUGCCGAGUCCGGCUGAGGUCUAGCCGAGCCUCCUCGUUGAGGAACGUGGGUCGACGUGGAGCGCAGGCCCCAGGCCGCCAAGAUGGCGGCAGCUGUUGCCGCGCAGGUGAAAUGCCCGGAUGGAGGAACAGCGGGAGCCCCCUGCAGGCUAAGAUGCAAGAUUUCACCCCCAGAGACCCUGGUGGAGCGCCUCAAAGAGGUUGCUGCUGGUAUUACAGCAGGGCGAGGGCCUCGUUCUUUUUGGGUUUGGAGAGAGUCUGCCCUUAGUUCUCAGCCUGUUUGAGAGGAAAUAAGAGACACCUCUGUACGCCUGCCUUUUCUGAACCGUAAGUGAGCCAACGCCACACAGUGGCCGAGAGGCCCCGGCUGGAUUGUCCUCUGAUGGAAAGUCAAGAGCUGCCUGUAUCUUUCCCAUGAAGGUUCUGCCAGGACGACGGUAUUUUUGGAGCCCCCAUGUUACAGAUGAGGAAACUGGCUUGGAGACGUUGAAAACAUGUUUGAAGUUACUCAGAUACCAAGUGGUAGAGACAAGAUCUGAACAUACCUCCGUCCGAUGGCCUGUCUGACAGCAUAGCCUGGGCUCUGGACUCUGCCUCCCUGUGGGGUGGGCUGCUCAUGCCCGUGUGUGCCAAGGUGGAGCUGGGGGUGGCAGGUGGACCUUUGGACACUCAGUGAUGCUGGGGAGUCAUUCGCCAUGUUGGCCCAUGCGAAAGAUGUUGCAGCUCGGUGCCGAUGGCCCUGUAAGUACAGCUAAUUUUCUGGUCUUUUGCUUUUAUAAAGGAAAAUAGAAGAGUUUAGAGAGCUCCCUACACUUAUCGCAGCCUCUAGAAAUGCUGUCUUCUGCUUGGUGAAUGGCUGCACCAUUUAUCCCAAAGCUCCAAAAAGGUUCCUGUCGUCCAUCAAUGGAACUCUAUUUUGCGACAGGGACUGUUACCAUCUUAUUUGAAAUCCUGCCUGACCAGCCGAGGCUGUUAAAGGGCCCACUUCCUCUCCGUCCUGCACGCUCCUCCCAGGGAACAAGAACCAAGUUCUCUUCCAUCACCUCUUGAGCGAUGCUGGCCAUGCAAGCCCAGCUACAGGGUGAAUUACAGCUCUGCUCCAGCCCUUUCUCACUCUGGGACUUUGACUCCGUUGUAUAACCUCUCUGAGCUUCUGUUUCCUGAUCAGUAAGAUGGGGAUAAUAAAAAGAAUGUCUGCUGCACGGGUUUGUUGUGGGGAUUAAAUGAAAUGAUGCAUGUUAAAUGAUUGGCGCGAUAAAUUUUGGCACCGUCAUUCUCUCAGCUUGUAUCUAAACCCUGCAAUUAAGGAUUAGGACCUCUAGCAAAUCGUUCCCAGUAUCUUGCCUUAUGGCAACAAAUGUGCCCAGAGCGCCAGGAGCCAGGCGAUCUCUAAGACCCUGCUUCUCAAUGCGUGGUUAUUUCCAAUAGCUCUCUGUGGGGUGAAAAUGUACAAUGAGCAAAAUUUGCUUCGGAGAAAGCCUCUCUCCUUUACUCUCCCUGCCUCCGUGUUGCAAAGGCUUCCUUUUUUCACAUCUGGGACCCUCGUGCUGACCUUGGGCUCCUCACAGCUCCUCGCUGGAGACCAAGGCACCUGGACCCUCAUGUCCUGAUGAAGACGGACCCAGGCCCUUUUACAAGGACGGGGAAAUUUGCUCGGUCUGAGCCGGGAGUGGAUUUGUUUCCCUCCAAUUAGUUGGAAAAUCGAACUUGAUCUAUGAAGAAGACAGAUUUAUAGCCUGAGCUGAUAUAUGACGGCCCUCGCCUGGUUAUAAUAAAAGAUGAAAUCACUCCAGUGGGGGUGUGGGUGGACACUGGGCGGGUUACUAAUGACUCUUCCCUCUGAUUUUCAGGACCUGAGCGAAGCCAGCCAGGAUGAUCAAAGAGCCCUUCAUAGUGGCUCAAAGGUAAUUUGGGGAGCUGGAGAGGAAGACGUUUGAAGUGUUCAUGUUUCCUUUGUUUUCCAUUCCACCCCCUUGCAGGGGCCCUGGUGAUGCUCCUCUCUGUGCAGCAAGUGCGUCUCCUCUGGCCCAUUCUCCACGGGAGUCUGGGUAGCGUGCCAGUCCUCGGGACGGAUGGCGGCCAACACGGCCUCGCCACCCCGUAUCUACAGAGGCUGUUUCUCCCCUUUGCUUGUGAGCGUUCCUUUCUCUGCCUCUUUAGCUGUUGAUUUACUUUUGUUCUGUUUUGCUGCGCUCUCCUUGGUGCUUCUGCCUUCUGCCGUCUCCCCGGAUGGCGUCCCGUGCUCCUCCUCUCCCUUCAUCUUCCUUCCGCAUCCUCUUUGCUGCCGCACUGCGUUCGCUGCCUUAUUUGCUUCCUUUCCUUUCAUGGUCUUGUGUUUGAUGCUCCUCUUUGCCUCCUUUCCUCGCUCUGAUUCUGGCUCCUAAUAUCUUGAAAGAGCGUUUGAUAACGUGUGCCUGACCCUGCCUGACCUCGGGUGAGUGAGUCUCCCCAGGCAGCUUUUGAUGUGGUCUGUGUGUGAUUGACGAAAGCUGCUCAAUUUGCUCUUCAAAGCUCUGUUUACGGAGAGUUUGGAGGCAUCUCCUCGGGAUUUCCUCUUCUUCUCUCCAGAAACACUUCUAAAGGAUAGGACGAAACCACACCCCUUGUCAAGUGUUCAUCGUCCGCCUGGAUCCCGGAUUCCGGAUCCCGGAUCCCAGAUCCCGUAAUGCUCGCGAGAGCAGGAUCCCACUGUCCCGCCCACCUUUUCUUCUUGAACCGUCGUUAUCCCUUGAGUCCUCACGGCAGAGCUUUUCAUCCACCAGGAAAGUUCACUUUGAAUACAACGCGUUUGCCCCCCAAAGAAACACUUAGAUUUGGACACCGAGUUAUAAAAUAGAGGACAAAUGCCGUCAGUGUUACUACCAGAAUCUAAGCACAUUAAGUGUCCUGCCUACGUAGAAUAUGGUCAAGAGCCAUAAGCGAAACAAUUGUCUCCAGCUUUGCAUUCUAGAAAGAGCAGUAGGUCGCGUUCUUUCCAAUACUGAUUACUCUGGAUCCCCAAAGCACAUGAGACGAUGAGGUGUAUUUUUCAUAGGGUUCAGGUUUCUUGCAGUGCUGUUUCUGUUUUUCAACCCAGGAAGAGGAUUCUCCCACCUGCCUCAGAAGGCUUACACAUUCAGCUGCUUAAGGAAAGAGGGAUGAGCAAAAUGUUAGUAGGAGACAUCCAGCUGGUAGAUGCUCUGAUUCUGAGAAUCUAAUACUUUAGGUGCGAUGAAUACAGUGCAUUAGAAAGAUCACUGAGUUUUGUGCUGGAAUACCUGUGUUUACAUGUAGAUUUGGACAAUUAUUAGUUGAAUGACCAUCAGUAAAAUUUUAAUUUUUUCCCAGUCUUUUUUAAACAGUUUUGUAUGUGUGUGUAUGUGUUUUUUUGGUUUUGUUUUGUCUUUUUCAGGGCCGCACCCAUGGCAUAAUGGAGAUUCCCAGGCUAGGGUUCGAAUUGGAGCUGUAGCCACUGGCCUAUACUACAGUAAUAGCAACGCCAGAUCCGAGCUGCAUCUGCGACCUACACCACAGCUCACAGCAACACCGGGUCCUUGACCCACCAGAGCGAGGCCAGGGAUUGAACCUGCGUCCGCAUGGUUACUAGUCAGAUUGGUUUCUGCUGAGCCACAAUAGGAACUCCUAAACAGCUUUUUGAGGAAUAGUUUAUAUACCAUAAAAAGUCAGCCACUGUAAGUGUACAGCUCAGUGAUUUUUAGUAAAUUUGUGAAGCCGUCACCACAAGGAAAUUUUAUAACAUUUUUGUUAAAUCUUUUAACCUCUCUCCAUUUUUUCCCCCUUCAUCUUAACACGGCACUCACACGGUGCCUUGAUCACAAACGCGGCCGCAAUCCUAAUCCUUCCGUGCUUUGCGUCAUGACUUUGUUGCUGCUUUUCCACUGAGAGGUAGGACUGCUCUCCCCAGGCCUCGGGUCUGGGGCUGGCCUUGUGACCGACUCUGACAAAAAGUCAAAGUGUGGCUGCAGCGAAGGUGCACCCCGUUCUGAGCCUAAACCUCAGAUGGCUCUGCAUGUGCUUCUGCUUGCUCUUUUGGAGCCCUGCCGUCUUCACCACGGGUAGAAGGUUGGGCCAGCGGGCUGGGAAAUGAAAAAUCAUGCAGGGAGAGGCCCCACCUCCACUUAGGCCAUCUCAGAUCAGCCUCCCCCAGCUGCCCUCCCCCUAACCACCCCAGAGACUGGCCCAGUGCAGCCAGCCAGGACUAGCAGCUCUGGCAAGCCACCCUGGGGACCCAUAAGAUGUGCUAGAAGGAAGAUGAGUGAAGCUACUGAGCUUUAGGGUAUUGUGAUUUCUAAUAAGAAUAUGUAUUGGGUCUUAGACCCAUUCCUGGUGCAGAGCUCCUAAAACCACUGGAAUUUCCCAAGUAUAAAGAGCUACAAAGGUGUCUCUUGUUAUGUUAAUAAAGUGACUUUUGCAAAGCCAGAAGGAUGUGGGCUGAUUGACAGUGGAGCCAACCACAGAUUAGAGGGUUGGACCUUUCAGUCCCACCCCCUGACCUCUGGGGAGGAGGGUGGGCCAGAGGUUGAACCAGUUGCUAAUGGCCAAUGAUUCAAUCAAAAGGAUAGGGUUCAGAAGGCUUCCAGUUGGUGAACACUUGGCAUUGUGGGGGAGAGGCGCUCCUGGAGAGGGCAUGGGAGUCUGCCCCCCUUUCCCGUGCCUUGCCUUAGGCAUCUCUUCCCUCUGGCUAUGCCUGAAUUAUAGCCUUUUAUAAUAAACUAGUGAAAAAAAAAAAAA